GACAAGAAGGGCAUAGUGGUCGGCAGCGAGUAGCAGUGAGAGAGUGAGUGAGUACCCUCCCCCUUGGAGACACACGCGACUUCUGACGGACCGCGGGAGUGAGUGAGUGAGUGAGUGAGUGGUGAAUGAGCGUGUCUGCCAGCAGCUCACAGACUUUUCCGCGUGGGAGUGAGUAUCGAGAACUCCGUCCCCAUCAUCAAAACCAUCCACCCCCUAUCAUCAUUUAUUCUGUGACUUAGCCCUUAGCGCGUGCGUGCAUGCACACGUCUUUGUGUGCCCAUGUGCCCUCGUGUGUGCGUUAGCCUCUAGAGAGGGGAGGGGUCGACAGUCUUUGCGUUAGUGCGCCCCCCACACCGAGCCGUGGGAGGGAGAGAGGUAACGGAGGACGAGUAGGAGGAGGAGGGAGGAAAGGGGUACACAGCACGGAUAAAAGGGGGCGUGAGAGCUAUAGCAUCCGGCUCUUGCCUUCAAAUUCCUUGACAGUCCGACCCAGAACUUAUAAGGUGUGUGUGUGUCUGUCCUGCAACCAUCAGCACCCAAGCGUCAAGAAACAUCACAACCAAAGGGACAACGCAGCUAUGAAGAUCUGAACUUGUGGACCUUACGAGAGUGAAUUUGUUCUUAAGACAUUCCGAGACACCAAGAAUAACCGUCAAAGGAAGUACCCGAACCAUCUGCAGUCUUGAUGAGAACUGCGACACCGAAGGUCAUACAUUCUAUGCACGGAAUUAGCAACAACCUCUGAGCAAUUCGACUUGACAGGAUUUUGAUACGUCGUGUAGAGUCAAUGGUACAACGUGUCAGCAGUUGCAAGAGUGAGUCGUACAAAGUGUUAUUCGUAGAAAGUCUCAAAAGUAGAAAGGGUCAGUCGUAGAAAGUAUUAGAAGCAGAGAGAGACAGUUGCAGAAAGAGUGGACCUCAGAAAGUGUGAGCUUAUGAAAA
Molecule: long non-coding RNA, 942 nt
Organism: Aplysia californica (California sea hare)
Lineage: Eukaryota; Metazoa; Mollusca; Gastropoda; Aplysiida; Aplysiidae
Exons: 2
Source: RefSeq, a predicted model, not a curated record